RNAcentral lists this ribosomal RNA (253 nucleotides) under uncultured bacterium. Its description in RNAcentral is "partial 16S ribosomal RNA". It matches the Rfam family "Bacterial small subunit ribosomal RNA", at positions 524 to 776 of the family's 1533-position model. The record is from RNAcentral.
UACGGAGGGUGCAAGCGUUAUCCGGAUUCACUGGGUUUAAAGGGUGCGUAGGUGGGAAUGUAAGUCAGUGGUGAAAUCUCCGUGCUUAACAUGGAAACUGCCAUUGAUACUAUGUUUCUUGAAUCUUCCGGAGGUCAGCGGAAUAUGUCAUGUAGCGGUGAAAUGCUUAGAUAUGACAUAGAACACCAAUCGCGAAGGCAGCUGACUACAGGGGCAUUGACACUGAGGCACGAAAGCGUGGGGAUCAAACAGG